This 442-nucleotide ribosomal RNA is filed under the name uncultured bacterium. RNAcentral's name for it is "partial 16S ribosomal RNA". It matches the Rfam family "Bacterial small subunit ribosomal RNA", at positions 338 to 795 of the family's 1533-position model. The record is from RNAcentral.
CCUACGGGAGGCAGCAGUAGGGAAUCUUUCACAAUGGGCGAAAGCCUGAUGGCGCCACGCCGCGUGCAGGAUGCCGGCCUUCUGGUUGUCAACUUCUUUUAUAAGCGAGAAAUAUGAUGGUAACUUAUGAAUAAGGAUCUGCUAACUACGUGCCAGCAGCCGCGGUCAUACGUAGGAUCCGAGCAUUAUCCGGAGUGACUGGGUGUAAAGAGUUGCGUAUGUGGCAUAAUAAUUAGCUAGGGAAAGCUGGUGGCUCAACCAUUCAGACUAUUAGCGAAACUGUUAAGCUCGAGACCGUUAGGGGUAACUGGAAUUUGUAGUGUAGGAGUGAAAUCCGUAGAUAUUAGAAGGAACACCAAUAGCGUAGGCAGGUUACUGGGACGGUUCUGACACUAAGGCACGAAAGCGUAGGGAGCAAACGGGAUUAGAUACCCUAGUAGUC